This 1148-nucleotide ribosomal RNA is filed under the name Limnonectes savan (Savan fanged frog). Its description in RNAcentral is "partial 16S ribosomal RNA". It matches the Rfam family "Bacterial large subunit ribosomal RNA", at positions 756 to 2597 of the family's 2925-position model. Lineage: Eukaryota; Metazoa; Chordata; Amphibia; Anura; Dicroglossidae. The record is from RNAcentral.
UUUUAAACAGCCAGUAGAGCUAACCCGUCUCUGUUGCAAAAGAGUGGGAUGAUUUAAAAGUAGAGGUGAAAAGCCUACCGAACUUAGAGAUAGCUGGUUAUUCAAGAAAAGAAUUUUAGUUCAGCUCUAAAUCUCGUAUAUUAUACUGUAUAAAUAAAUUAGACUUAGAAGCCAAUCAAAUAAGGCACAGCUUAUUUGAUGAAGGAGACAACCUAUAAAAAAGGGUAAAACUUACCACAUUAACCAAGUAGGCCUGAAAGCAGCCACCUUUAAGAAAGCGUUAAAGCUCUAUUUUAAACUUACUACAAUCCCUAAGCACACCUUAAACCCUUUACCCCUACUGAAUGACUCUAUAACAAUAUAGAAGCCCUAAUGCUAAAACUAGUAACAAGAAAUUGUGUUCUCCAAAAUACAAGCAUAAACCAAAAUGGACAGACCAUUGGUAUUUAACACUAAUAAGCCUAAUGUAACAACAACACAAGAAAACCCUAUAACUUUUAAUGUUAACCUUACACAAGCGUAUUUCUGGAAAGAUUAAAAGAAAGGGAAGGAACUCGGCAAACUUUAACCCCGCCUGUUUACCAAAAACAUCGCCUCUUGAAUACUUAUAAGAGGUCUAGCCUGCCCAGUGAUAUAAUUAAACGGCCGCGGUACCCUGACCGUGCGAAGGUAGCAUAAUCACUUGUUCUCUAAAUAAGGACUCGUAUCAACGGCAUCACGAGGGUUACACUGUCUCCCCCUUCUAAUCAGUGAAACUGACUUUCCCGUGAAGAGGCGGGAAUCAUCAUACAAGACGAGAAGACCCCAUGGAGCUUUAAACCCAAAGGCAACCUUUAUUAACUCUACUUCAAAAUUUUUAAGGCCCUGCCUAUUGGUUUUAGGUUGGGGUGACCACGGAGUAAAACUUAGCCUCCACGACGAAUAGAUUUCUUCAUCUUAAUCUUAGAGCCGCCGCUCCAAGAAUCAAAAAAAUUUGACGCAACAUGAUCCGAUUUUUCGAUCAACGAACCAAGUUACCCUGGGGAUAACAGCGCAAUCCAUUUUAAGAGCCCCUAUCGACAAAUGGGUUUACGACCUCGAUGUUGGAUCAGGGUAUCCCAGUGGUGCAGCCGCUACUAAAGGUUUGUUUGUUCAACAAUUAAAACCCU